GACGAACGCUGGCGGCGUGCUUAACACAUGCAAGUCGAACGGAAAGGCCCUGCUUUUGUGGGGUGCUCGAGUGGCGAACGGGUGAGUAACACGCGAGUAACCUGCCCUUGACUUUGGGAUAACUUCAGGAAACUGGGGCUAAUACCGGAUAGGAGCUCCUGCUGCAUGGUGGUGGUUGGAAAGUUUCGGCGGUUGGGGAUGGACUCGCGGCUUAUCAGCUUGUUGGUGGGGUAGUGGCUUACCAAGGCUUUGACGGGUAGCCGGCCUGAGAGGGUGACCGGCCACAUGGGGACUGAGAUACGGCCCAGACUCCUACGGGAGGCAGCAGUGGGGAAUAUUGCACAAUGGGCGGAAGCCUGAUGCAGCAACGCCGCGUGCGGGAUGACGGCCUUCGGGUUGUAAACCGCUUUCGCCUGUGACGAAGCGUGAGUGACGGUAAUGAAUAAAGAAGCACCGGCUAACUACGUG
This 468-nucleotide ribosomal RNA is filed under the name uncultured bacterium. RNAcentral describes it as "partial 16S ribosomal RNA". It matches the Rfam family "Bacterial small subunit ribosomal RNA", at positions 28 to 507 of the family's 1533-position model. The record is from RNAcentral.